AUUGAACGCUGGCGGCAUGCCUUACACAUGCAAGUCGAACGGUAACAGGUCUUCGGAUGCUGACGAGUGGCGAACGGGUGAGUAAUACAUCGGAACGUGCCCGAUCGUGGGGGAUAACGAGGCGAAAGCUUUGCUAAUACCGCAUACGAUCUACGGAUGAAAGCGGGGGAUCUUCGGACCUCGCGCGGACGGAGCGGCCGAUGGCAGAUUAGGUAGUUGGUGGGAUAAAAGCUUACCAAGCCGACGAUCUGUAGCUGGUCUGAGAGGAUGAUCAGCCACACUGGGACUGAGACACGGCCCAGACUCCUACGGGAGGCAGCAGUGGGGAAUUUUGGACAAUGGGCGAAAGCCUGAUCCAGCCAUGCCGCGUGCAGGAUGAAGGCCUUUGGGUUGUAAACUGCUUUUGUACGGAACGAAAAGCCUCUUCCUAAUAAAGAGGGGUCAUGACGGUACCGUAAGAAUAAGCACCGGCUAACUACGUG
This 482-nucleotide ribosomal RNA is filed under the name uncultured bacterium. RNAcentral's name for it is "partial 16S ribosomal RNA". It matches the Rfam family "Bacterial small subunit ribosomal RNA", at positions 30 to 507 of the family's 1533-position model. The record is from RNAcentral.